AGUGCUGACGUAUGUGGCUUUAACAACCACAUUCAUUUACACCUGCCCAGUUUCAUCUGAAAUGCGUCUGAAAGACCACAUCCUGAAGUGGUUUGAGCGAUCGGAUUUAUAUCCGUCUCGAAACCGUUUCGGAGGGCAUUUACACCUGGUCUUUUUACGAUCGGAUAGUUAUCGGAUCACAGAAAACGCAUGAAGUGACCAGGUGUAAAAACCCCCUAGUACAUGAUUGUGUCCACAAGCUGUAUUGUACUGAGGCUCUGUGCUGCCACACAUGACUCAUUUCCUAUCAGGAUCUCGUCAGAACUAGAAAAAAUGUCGCUUUAUUUAGAAGACAUCGUGUAUUCACGUGAAAAGAUCGCGUGAUUACGAGAACAGCAUCACGUCAUUGUUCCGAUGGAGUUAUAUCCACUCUUCUGGGAAGGCUUUCCGCUUGAUUUUGGAACAUGGCUGUGUUAAAUGAUAUGGCUGUGGGAAACAUUUUGAGAUUACAUUGAAAUAAACAAUUAACAUUUAAUAUAGAAUAAUAAACAAAAUGUAUAAGAAACAAA
Molecule: long non-coding RNA, 548 nt
Organism: Tachysurus fulvidraco (yellow catfish)
Lineage: Eukaryota; Metazoa; Chordata; Actinopteri; Siluriformes; Bagridae
Exons: 2
Source: RefSeq, a predicted model, not a curated record